Molecule: long non-coding RNA, 244 nt
Organism: Sphaeramia orbicularis (orbiculate cardinalfish)
Lineage: Eukaryota; Metazoa; Chordata; Actinopteri; Kurtiformes; Apogonidae
Exons: 3
Source: RefSeq, a predicted model, not a curated record
GGGUCAUUACUGUAAUUUCACUCACGCUUGUACUAGAAGCUGGAGAAGAAGCCAUUUUAGCAGAAUGAUAACAUGCAGUAAAUUGUAAAUGACUGCUAGAUUCUGAAAGUUCCAAGUGCUCUGGAAAAACGGGCAAAAGGACUCACGGCGUAUUUUCUAACCUUUUUAUAGUCAAAAUAAGAAACAAAGUCCAAACGGGCCAUUUGAGGCUUAGGGUUUAAAGGGUUAAAGUAUUGGAGUGUCC